This is a non-coding RNA of Glycine soja, 144 nucleotides long. NCBI's taxonomy places the organism in Eukaryota, Viridiplantae, Streptophyta, Magnoliopsida, Fabales, Fabaceae. The record is from Rfam.
AAGGCUUUCUCUUUCUUGAGAUUUUUGCUUGCACUUAUUCCAAUGUGUUUGGCGACAUUCUUAAUUGAAGCCGAUAUCUGUGUUCCCCUCGCUAUCCAUUAGUGCAAUUUUGAUGCAGCAUUUGGACGUCGGGGAACUAAAUUG